GCCUGCCCAGUGACCCUGUUUAACGGCCGCGGUAUCCUAACCGUGCGAAGGUAGCGUAAUCACUUGUUCUCUAAAUAUGGACUAGUAUGAACGGCAUCACGAGGGUUAUACUGUCUCCUUUUUCUAAUCAGUGAAACUAACUUCCCCGUGAAGAGACGGGGAUAAAACUAUAAGACGAGAAGACCCUAUGGAGCUUUAAACAACAUAGCACUUGCCUCAUAAUAAAAGUCUCUGGAUCUCUUUCUCCAAGGCAAUAUGACUAUAAGUUUUUGGUUGGGGUGACCGCGGAGCAAAAUUUAACCUCCACAUUGAAAAUUUUAAACUGAGAAUCACCUUUCUAAGCAUCAAUAUAUUGACACUAAUUGAUCCAAUACAUUUGAACAACGAACCAAGUUACCCUAGGGAUAACAGCGCA
RNAcentral lists this ribosomal RNA (415 nucleotides) under Nectophrynoides cf. viviparus HCL-2014. RNAcentral's name for it is "partial 16S ribosomal RNA". It matches the Rfam family "Bacterial large subunit ribosomal RNA", at positions 1857 to 2484 of the family's 2925-position model. The record is from RNAcentral. Lineage: Eukaryota; Metazoa; Chordata; Amphibia; Anura; Bufonidae.